This is a long non-coding RNA of Mastomys coucha (southern multimammate mouse), 803 nucleotides long. RefSeq lists it as uncharacterized. The record is from RefSeq and is a predicted model, not a curated record. The transcript has 4 exons. Lineage: Eukaryota; Metazoa; Chordata; Mammalia; Rodentia; Muridae.
UGAUGACCUCGCCGUCCAUGCUGGGAUGGAACCCUUCAGUGAUGCGGUUCUUGAGUCACCGUGUUCCUUUGAGUACCCCAUCUCUCAGGCUUCUGUGAGAAUCCCAGCUGUGCACAGCCUCACACCACUGCCAUGAAGGGAUGAAUCCUUUUCCAGCAUUUCUCAGACUUUGUGUGAACAAUUCCACCCGAGGCCUUCUCUGAUAUGCUCAAACUUCUCAGCGCCUGGAAGCAGCUGUCAAGCACUGACAGUAGAAAGUACGGCUACCUCCUUGAAACAGAAGUCGAGACUGGCCGAGUGUCUUUGAACAAGGUCUUCUCAUUUGCUCUACUAAGCAAAUGUUAUAUGAUUCAUGUAGUUACUGUGAAGACAGACAGAAGGAAAAUCCACCAAAGAGUGGUCUGCUUGCUGGUCCAGAGAUGCUAGGAUCAAAGACUCGGAAAGAGGAGAUUGGAGAUUAAACAACACCAACAUCCACACCAACAUCCACGCCAACACCAACAUCAACAUCAUCAUCAACAGCAACAGCACGGGACAUUUCAUCUACGACAGUGUUUCCAACGUCUAUGUUGAAGCUUUCUCUUUGAUGCCAUCAUUGAGAAACAUUACUUAAACCUCAGAAAUGAGCCAAUGGUACCUUCAUUGUCAGAUUGAGGCAUGAUGGAUCACUAACCCAGGGGUAUUUGGUCCAGGGCAACGGGUCUGCAUCUAACUUGGCUCUUUUCUAGGAGCCCAGAUGCAUGCUAACUUGAAGGUUUCUGUUCCCAGGGAGGAGAUAAGAGAUAAAGAGAAGAUAAGGCCAA